AACGCUGGCGGCGCGCUUAACACAUGCAAGUCGAACGAGAAAGGGAGCAAUCCUGAGUAAAGUGGCGUACUGGUGAGUAACACGUGGAUAUCUACCUCUUGGUGGGGAAUAACCUGGGGAAACCUGGGCUAAUACCGCAUAAGUUCGUGAGAAGAAAGGCGCAAGUCGCCGAGAGAGGAGUCCGCGGUCGAUUAGGUAGUUGGCGGGGUAAGAGCCCACCAAGCCAAAGAUCGAUAGCCGGCCUGAGAGGGCACACGGCCACACUGGCACUGAAACACGGGCCAGACUCCUACGGGAGGCAGCAGUGGGGAAUCUUGCACAAUGGGGGAAACCCUGAUGCAGCGACGCCGCGUGAGCGAUGAAGCCCUUCGGGGUGUAAAGCUCUUUCGGCAGGAACGAUAAUGACGGUACCUGCAGAAG
This 420-nucleotide ribosomal RNA is filed under the name Acidobacteria bacterium UCL-031. RNAcentral describes it as "bacterial SSU rRNA". It matches the Rfam family "Bacterial small subunit ribosomal RNA", at positions 32 to 487 of the family's 1533-position model. Lineage: Bacteria; Pseudomonadati; Acidobacteriota. The record is from RNAcentral.